Molecule: small RNA, 48 nt
Filed under: Arabidopsis thaliana (thale cress)
Lineage: Eukaryota; Viridiplantae; Streptophyta; Magnoliopsida; Brassicales; Brassicaceae
Description: ATSL139450
Source: RNAcentral
CAUGCUCAAUUAGAUCUAAAGUACUCAAACUUCCAGUUCCUUCAUCCU